GAGUUAGUCGGACAACGCUACAACAUACGUCCACAAGGGGUGAGUUAGUCAGACAACGAACGUCCACAAGGGGUGAGUUAGUCGGACAACGCUACAACAUACGUCCACAAGGGGUGAGUUAGUCGGACAGCACACGUCCACAAGGGGUGAGUUAGUCAGACAACGCUACAACAUACGUCCACAAGGGGUGAGUUAGUCUGACAACGCUACAACAUAUAUCCACAAGGGGUGAGUUAGUCGGACAACGCACGUCCACAAGGGGCGAGUUCGUCGGACAACGCACGUCCACAAGGGACGAGUUAUUCGGACAACGCUACAACGCACGUCCACAAGGGGCCAGUUAGUCGGACAACGCUACAACAUACGUCCACAAGGGGUGAGUUAGUCUGACAACGCUACAACAUACGUCCACAAGGGGUGAGUUAGUCGGACAACGCUACAACACACGUCCACAAGGGGUGAGUUAGUCGGACAACGCACGUCCACAAGGGGUGAGUUAGUCGGACAACGCUACAACAUACGUCCACAAGAGGUGAGUUAGUCGGACAACACACGUCCACAAGGGGUGAGUUAGUCAGACAACGCUACAACAUACGUCCACAAGGGGUGAGUUAGUCGGACAACGCUACAACAUACGUCCACAAGGGGUGAGUUAGUCGGACAGCGCUACAAUAUACGUCCACAAGGGGUGAGUUAGUCGGACAACGCACGUCCACAAGGGGUGAGUUAGUCGGACAACGCUACAACAUACGUGCACAAGGGGUGAGUUAGUCGGACAACGCACGUCCACAAGGGGUGAGUUAGUCGGACAACGCACGUCCACAAGGGGUGAGUUAGUCGGACAAUGCUACAACAUACGUCCACAAGGGGUGAGUUAGUCGGACAACGCUACAACAUACGCCCACAAGGGGUGAGUUAGUCGGACAACACACCUCCACAAGGGGUGAGUUAGUCGGACAACGCUACAACAUACGUCCACAAGGGGUGAGUUAGUCGGACAACGCACGUCCACAAGGGGUGAGUUAGUCGGACAAUGCUACAACACACGUCCACAAGGGGUGAGUUAGUCUGACAACGCUACAACACACGUCCACAAGGGGUGAGUUAGUCUGACAACGCUACAACACACGUCCACAAGGGGUGAGUUAGUCGGACAAUGCUACAACACACGUCCACAAAGGGUGAGUUAGUCAGACAACGCACGUCCACAAGGGGUGAGUUAGUCGGACAACGCUACAACAUACGUCCACAAGGGGUGAGUUAGUCAGACAACGCACGUCCACAAGGGGUGAGUUAGUCAGACAACACACGUCCACAAGGGGUGAGUUACUCUGACAACGCUAAAACAUACGUCCACAAGGGGUGAGUUAGUCGGACAACAUACGUCCACAAGGGGUGAGUUAGUCGGACAACGCUACAACAUACGUCCACAAGGGGUGAGUUAGUCGGACAACGCUACAACAUACGUCCACAGGGGGUGAGUUAGUCGGACAACGCACGUCCACAAGGGGUGAGUUAGUCGGACAACGCUACAACACACGUCCACAAGGGGUGAGUUAGUCUGACAAUGCUACAACAUACGUCCACAAGGGGUGACUUAGUCUGACAACGCUACAACACACGUCCACAAGGGGUGAGUUAGUCGGACAACGCACGUCCACAAGGGGUGAGUUAGUCGGACAACGCUACAACAUACGUCCACAAGAGGUGAGUUAGUCGGACAACACACGUCCACAAGGGGUGAGUUAGUCAGACAACGCUACAACAUACGUCCACAAGGGGUGAGUUAGUCUGACAAUGCUACAACACACGUCCACAAGGGGUGAGUUAGUCGGACAACGCAUGUCCACAAGGGGUGAGUUAGUCGGACAACGCUACAACAUACGUCCACAAGAGGUGAGUUAGUCGGACAACACACGUCCACAAGGGGUGAGUUAGUCAGACAACGCUACAACAUACGUCCACAAGGGGUGAGUUAGUCGGACAACGCUACAACAUACGUCCACAAGGGGUGAGUUAGUCGGACAACGCUACAAUAUACGUCCACAAGGGGUGAGUUAGUCGGACAACGCACGUCCACAAGGGGUGAGUUAGUCGGACAAUGCUACAACAUACGUCCACAAGGGGUGAGUUAGUCGGACAACGCACGUCCACAAGGGGUGAGUUAGUCGGACAACGCACGUCCACAAGGGGUGAGUUAGUCGGACAACGCACGUCCACAAGGGGUGAGUUAGUCUGACAACGCUACAACAUACGUCCACAAGGGGUGAGUUAGUCGGACAACGCUACAAAAUACGUCCACAAGGGGUGAGUUAGUCGGACAACGCACGUCCACAAGGGGUGAGUUAGUCGGACAAUGCUACAACAUACGUCCACAAGGGUUGAGUUAGUCGGACAAUGCUACAACAUACGUCCACAAGGGGUGAGUUAGUCGGACAACGCUACAACAUACGUCCACAAGGGGGUGAGUUAGUCACACAACGCUACAACAUACGUCCACAAGGGGUGAGUUAGUCAGACAACGCUACAACAUACGUCCACAAGGGGUGAGUUAGUCGGACAAUGCUACAACAUACGUCCACAAGGGGUGAGUUAGACGGACAACGCUACAACAUACGCCCACAAGGGGUGAGUUAGUCGGACAACACACCUCCACAAGGGGUGAGUUAGUCGGACAACGCUACAACAUAAGUCCACAAGGGGUGAGUUAGUCGGACAACGCUACAAUAUACGUCCAGAAGGGGUGAGUUAGUCGGACAACGCUACAACAUACGUCCACAAGGGUUGAGUUUGUCGGACAACAUACGUCCACAAGGGGUGAGUUAGUCGGACAACGCUACAACAUACGUCCACAAGGGGUGAGUUAGUCAGACAAAGCACGUCCACAAGGGGUGAGUUAGUCUGACAACGCUACAACACACGUCCACAAGGGGUGAGUUAGUCUGACAACGCUAAAACAUACGUCCACAAGGGGUGAGUUAGUCGGACAACAUACGUCCACAAGGGGUGAGUUAGUCGGACAACGCUACAACAUACGUCCACAAGGGGUGAGUUAGUCGGACAACGCUACAACAUACGUCCACAAGGGGUGAGUUAGUCGGACAACACACGUCCACAAGGGGUGAGUUAGUCGGACAACGCUACAACAUACGUCCACAGGGGGUGAGUUAGUCGGACAACGCACGUCCACAAGGGGUGAGUUAGUCGGACAACGCUACAACACACGUCCACAAGGGGUGAGUUAGUCUGACAACGCUACAACAUACGUCCACAGGGGGUGAGUUAGUCGGACAACGCUACAACACACGUCCACAUGGGGUGAGUUAGUCUGACAACGCUACAACAUACGUCCACAAGGGGUGAGUUAGUCUGACAACGCUACAACACACGUCCACAAGGGGUGAGUUAGUCGGACAACGCUACAACAUACGUCCACAAGAGGUGAGUUAGUCGGACAACACACGUUCACAAGGGGUGAGUUAGUCAGACAACGCUACAACAUACGUCCACAAGGGGUGAGUUAGUCUGACAACGCUACAACGUACGUCCACAAGGGGUGAGUUAGUCGGACAACGCACGUCCACAAGUGGUGAGUUAGUCGGACAACGCUACAACAUACGUCCACAAGAGGUGAGUUAGUCGGACAACACACGUCCACAAGGGGUGAGUUAGUCGGACAACGCUACAACAUACGUCCACAAGGGGUGAGUUAGUCGGACAAUGCACGUCCACAAGGGGUGAGUUAGUCGGACAACGCACGUCCACAAGGGGUGAGUUAGUCGGACAACGCACGUCCACAAGGGGUGAGUUAGUCGGACAACG
This 3822-nucleotide long non-coding RNA is filed under the name Salmo salar (Atlantic salmon). RNAcentral's name for it is "lncRNA (ENSSSAG00000110644.1)". The record is from RNAcentral. Lineage: Eukaryota; Metazoa; Chordata; Actinopteri; Salmoniformes; Salmonidae.